This 1489-nucleotide long non-coding RNA is filed under the name Phoenix dactylifera (date palm). RNAcentral's name for it is "long non-coding RNA (PDAC_LNC009010)". The record is from RNAcentral. Lineage: Eukaryota; Viridiplantae; Streptophyta; Magnoliopsida; Arecales; Arecaceae.
UUAUUUUUAGUGUUUAGUUCUACAGACAUUCAGAAGGAGAUAUUAUAAGUUUUGGACAGGUUUUCAAAAUUGCCACCACUAGGAAAAGCAUAAGUACUCCAGAAUAGCCGGAGAAUCAAGCUCGAGCCCUACUGCCUAAGAAGUUGGACAAUCAGAAAGAGAGAGAAAAAGCUAACAUAUCCGUAGACCACACUUUACAAGACAAAACAAAUACAACCCACGCCAUAAAUUCCAUAACUCGGAUGACCGUAGCUCCCUGUCAUACAUGAAGGCUGAUAUUUAUGAUUUCCAUAGCAACAAUGCCACGCUUACCCUCGUUGAUUCUGAUUCCCAGGGUCACUCUAGGUAGCUGCCUCUUACCUAUGUGAUAUGAAUAAUGUAGUUGAUCAACGGUAAAGUUCAGAUGAAAAAGUCCACUUAUAAUGAAGCACAAAACCAUAGAUGAUAUCAUUGAGGAUAAUAUUUUUUUUCCUGUAAUCUCUCCUGUCAGGUGAAGUUACCAGAAGUGUGCAGAAAAAUCCUGAAAAUAUAAGCAUGCAGAGCUCGUUGCAACAGAUGGAUAUCCACCAAACCGAUGAGUCAAUGAAGACAACCUUAAAAUUGUAUAACAUCUCUUGUACAAACAUUUCUAUUGCACUACAAAGAAAGUGUAUAUAGCCUGCUUCGCUUCAUUCCUACCAACUUUAGUUAUAAGCUGCCGUGUUAGUUUGCCAUUCCCCUUACCACACCCAGGUUCAAGUGCAAGUUUCUUACAUAGAUCAGGCUCAUCAUUAGUAAAAGGGAAGAAAAAUUAUAUAAAUGCCUAUAGAUCUAGCAGGUGGGACAGACAGUAGCUUUCCACAAUUAACUUAAUAUGGAGCAUCUUGGGAAGAAAACCAUUCAAAAAGAUAUUCCUAAACAAUUAAGGAGAGAAAGAAUACUAGUUUAUAGAAUAAAUAGCUUUCCUCGGGAACCAAUUGGGACAUUUGAUUGGAGAGUAUGUAACGCAAGUUUCAUGAGACAUUUCAUUCGACAUUUCACUGGAUCAGAUUAAUGUGUUAUUGUGUAAAAUGGUUUUCCUAAAAUUAUGAAUUCAAAAACAACCAAACAUAAGGCAUCCAACUUGAUUAUUCUUUUUAAAAUAUGGUCUUCCCAGAGGUGAUACUACCGCAUGACUGAGAAUAUGGAACCUUUUGGAUUAAAUAAAUUUGUAUUUUUUAUUUCAUGUCUUAAUUAUCCUCUCUGUUGUAACUUAAUAUGGCUAGUAAUAUAGUGUCUCAAUUUUCUCCAUACGAUUUCAGCAUUCCCCUGUUUCCUUCCCUUUUGAUUGGACCCAUAUAAUACUGCAUGACAAUCUAGAGGUAAAUUUUGUAGUCCUUACUUUUUAAAAUCUGUUUAGCAAAAGUAACAAGUUUUAAUACAGUUUUAAGUUUAAGAUACUAAACUUGUCUAAUAUGGUCGAAGUUUUGGAUGUUUAAAGUAAAGUCACUAGGAAAAAAUAAUAAAUCCC